GCUGGAAACGGCGGCUAAUACCGCAUACGCCUUGCGAGGGAAAGCUUUAGCGCCCUGGGAUGAGCCCGCGUCGGAUUAGCUUGUUGGUGAGGUAACGGCUCACCAAGGCUUCGAUCCGUAGCUGGUCUGAGAGGAUGAUCAGCCACACUGGGACUGAGACACGGCCCAGACUCCUACGGGAGGCAGCAGUGGGGAAUAUUGGACAAUGGGGGCAACCCUGAUCCAGCCAUGCCGCGUGCGUGAAGAAGGCCUUAGGGUUGUAAAGCGCUUUCGGCGGGGAAGAUGAUGACGGUACCCGCAGAAGAAGCUCCGGCUAACUCCGUGCCAGCAGCCGCGGUAAUACGGAGGGGGCUAGCGUUGUUCGGAAUUACUGGGCGUAAAGGGCGCGUAGGCGGAUCGUCAAGUCAGAGGUGAAAGCCCUGGGCUCAACCUGGGAACUGCCUUUGAAACUAAUGGUCUAGAGUCCGAGAGAGGAUGGCGGAAUUCCCAGUGUAGAGGUGAAAUUCGUAGAUAUUGGGAAGAACACCAGUGGCGAAGGCGGCCAUCUGGCUCGGUACUGACGCU
This 564-nucleotide ribosomal RNA is filed under the name uncultured bacterium. RNAcentral's name for it is "bacterial SSU rRNA". It matches the Rfam family "Bacterial small subunit ribosomal RNA", at positions 149 to 747 of the family's 1533-position model. The record is from RNAcentral.